AUUGAACGCUGGCGGCAUGCCUUACACAUGCAAAUCGAACGGUAACGGGCCUUCGGGUGCCGACGAGUGGCGAACGGGUGAGUAAUACAUCGGAACGUGCCCGAUCGUGGGGGAUAACGAGGCGAAAGCUUUGCUAAUACCGCAUACGAUCUACGGAUGAAAGCAGGGGACCGCAAGGCCUUGCGCGGACGGAGCGGCCGAUGGCAGAUUAGGUAGUUGGUGGGAUAAAAGCUUACCAAGCCGACGAUCUGUAGCUGGUCUGAGAGGAUGAUCAGCCACACUGGGACUGAGACACGGCCCAGACUCCUACGGGAGGCAGCAGUGGGGAAUUUUGGACAAUGGGCGCAAGCCUGAUCCAGCCAUGCCGCGUGCAGGAUGAAGGCCUUCGGGUUGUAAACUGAUUUUGUACGGAACGAAAAGCCUUCUUUUAAUACAGGAGGGUCAUGACGGUACCGGAAGAAUAAGCACCGACUAACUACGUG
This 482-nucleotide ribosomal RNA is filed under the name uncultured bacterium. RNAcentral describes it as "partial 16S ribosomal RNA". It matches the Rfam family "Bacterial small subunit ribosomal RNA", at positions 30 to 507 of the family's 1533-position model. The record is from RNAcentral.